Long non-coding RNA from Xiphophorus couchianus (Monterrey platyfish), 698 nucleotides. RefSeq lists it as uncharacterized. NCBI's taxonomy places the organism in Eukaryota, Metazoa, Chordata, Actinopteri, Cyprinodontiformes, Poeciliidae. The transcript is spliced from 2 exons. The record is from RefSeq and is a predicted model, not a curated record.
CACGCGGAGACAGGGGAGCGAGGACUGUGAGGUGGUCUGGAGUUUUACACCAGUUAAAAGUUACACAAUACAUGUAGUGGUUUUGAAAUGAUGACAUAUUCAACAUCCAUCGUCCAGAACCAAAGCAGGAGUCUUCAGCCGGAAUAUCAAAGCAGUAAGGAAGGGAGCUAAUAUCCUCAGAAGAGUGAGAUGCCUGUCUAAUCUAUAAGUUUUAAGUGAAAAAUGUACCAGGUCAUAUAGACCCAACAAGUGAAUGACAAAGGUACAAUUAUUUUAGAUGAAGUCUUCACCACGGUGACUAUGAUUAUUUGUGAAUGAACUUAGCUUCUAUUAUAUAUCGGCACCUUUUUUUGUUUUUGCCAAAAGUGAGUUUUGUAAAAAAAAAAAACAACAACAACAAAAACCCACCUCUUUUUGGCCAAAAUAUGAGUCAGGCAAAAAACAGAAAGAAAAAGAAAAUCACUUUUGGCAAAAAAAAAUGACAUAUGCCAUUAUUUUAGGAAAGUUGUGAUAUGAAACUUGUUACUACAGAUAUCCUAAUAAUGAAAUAGUACAUUUUUAAGAACGCCGGUUUAUCAGCACCCAUUGCUCCCUUAGACAACCGUUUUUUUUAAUAAAUGCCUCUGAAGGGCUAAAAAUGUUUCUGGUUGCCGUGUCCUCCCUAGUUUUGUUGCAGCCAUCUGAGCCGGGCCGUAACA